RNAcentral lists this ribosomal RNA (1131 nucleotides) under Triticum aestivum (bread wheat). RNAcentral's name for it is "partial small subunit ribosomal RNA". The record is from RNAcentral. Lineage: Eukaryota; Viridiplantae; Streptophyta; Magnoliopsida; Poales; Poaceae.
AUGAGAGGGAUUCUCGCAUGGAAGAUAUCCGCAACCACUCAGCUAGUAACAUUGAUGAAAACGAACUUGUGGGAUUUUCCAAGCCCAAAGAAGAGGAUGGAGCUUCUCAAAGAUAUGAUCACGCAACUUAUUGGCAAGGAAGCAUUGAAGAAGCAACUUGAAUGGAAAGAAGUGCGAGUAGAGAACCUCGACUGCUAUCUCAGGGAAUGUCUACUUGAGAAGAGGUACCUAAUUGUUCUUGAUGAUAUAUGGAACAUAGAUGAUUGGAAGUGGAUCAAAAGUAUAGCUCUUCCUAUAGGAAACAACAAAGGUAGCCAGAUAAUGGUAACAACACGAGAUAUUAGCUUAGCUGAGGAGUGUACUUUUGAAUCUUCUACACCAUUUAUCUACCACCAUAAACCCCUAGAAACAGAAGAUGCCAUAAAUCUGUUACUAAGGAAGAGUAGAAAAAGUAAGGAAGACAUGAAAAAUGACGAGGACAUGAGGAAAAUAGUUACUAAGAUAGUAAAAAAGUCGGGAUGUUUACCCCUAUCUAUACUCACUAUAGGAGGCUUGCUUGCCACCAGAGUGGUCAACGAGUGGCAAGGUAUUUAUAACCAAAUCCCCUCGGAGCUAGAGCAAAACAGAAGCCUUGAAGCAAUGAGGAGGAUGGUAACUCUAGGUUACAACCACUUGCCUUCUCAUCUCAAAUCAUGUUUUCUGUAUUUAAGCAUAUUCCCAAAGGAUUUUGAAAUCAGAAGGAGGCGUCUGGUAGAAAGAUGGAUAGCCGAGGGGUUUGUUAUAGCCAGGGAUGGGGUCAACGUUGAGGAUGUUGGGAACAGUUACUUCAAUGAACUAAUCAACACUAGCAUGAUUCAGCCAUCAAGAGUUAACAUAGAAGGAAUUGUGAAGAGCUGCAAAGUUCAUGAUAUUGUUCGUGAUGUCUUGAUCUCAGUUUCUAGAGAUGAAAAUUUUUCAUGCUCAACAUUGGAUAAUGUAACCGGCAUGGGAGGAGACAACUUCCGCCAUGUCGCAUACCAGGGCAGUUGGUGCCCAAAUAAAGGCUUGGACUGGAAUCAUGCCCGAUCAUUAACAGUGUUUGGUAAGAGACCCAUGAAGCCAGCACCUUCACUUUGUUCGGCCAACUUCUGA